CGCUGGCGGCGUGCUUAACACAUGCAAGUCGAACGGAAAGGCCCUGCUUUUGUGGGGUGCUCGAGUGGCGAACGGGUGAGUAACACGUGAGUAACCUGCCCUUGACUUUGGGAUAACUUCAGGAAACUGGGGCUAAUACCGGAUAGGAGCUCCUGCUGCAUGGUGGGGGUUGGAAAGUUUCGGCGGUUGGGGAUGGACUCGCGGCUUAUCAGCUUGUUGGUGGGGUAGUGGCUUACCAAGGCUUUGACGGGUAGCCGGCCUGAGAGGGUGACCGGCCACAUUGGGACUGAGAUACGGCCCAGACUCCUACGGGAGGCAGCAGUGGGGAAUAUUGCACAAUGGGCGGAAGCCUGAUGCAGCAACGCCGCGUGCGGGAUGACGGCCUUCGGGUUGUAAACCGCUUUCGCCUGUGACGAAGCGUGAGUGACGGUAAUGGGUAAAGAAGCACCGGCUAACUACGUGCCAGCAGCCGCGGUGAUACGUAGGGUGCGAGCGUUGUCCGGAUUUAUUGGGCGUAAAGGGCUCGUAGGUGGUUGAUCGCGUCGGAAGUGUAAUCUUGGGGCUUAACCCUGAGCGUGCUUUCGAUACGGGUUGACUUGAGGAAGGUAGGGGAGAAUGGAAUUCCUGGUGGAGCGGUGGAAUGCGCAGAUAUCAGGAGGAACACCAGUGGCGAAGGCGGUUCUCUGGGCCUUUCCUGACGCUGAGGAGCGAAAGCGUGGGGAGCGAACAGGCUUAGAUACCCUGGUAGUCCACGCUGUAAACGGUGGGUACUAGGCGUGGGGUCCAUUCCACGGGUUCCGUGCCGUAGCUAACGCUUUAAGUACCCCGCCUGGGGAGUACGGCCGCAAGGCUAAAACUCAAAGGAAUUGACGGGGCCCCGCACAAGCGGCGGAGCAUGCGGAUUAAUUCGAUGCAACGCGUAGAACCUUACCUGGGUUUGACAUGGAUCGGGAGUGCUCAGAGAUGGGUGUGCCUCUUUUGGGGUCGGUUCACAGGUGGUGCAUGGCUGUCGUCAGCUCGUGUCGUGAGAUGUUGGGUUAAGUCCCGCAACGAGCGCAACCCUUGUUCACUGUUGCCAGCACGUUAUGGUGGGGACUCAGUGGAGACCGCCGGGGUCAACUCGGAGGAAGGUGGGGAUGACGUCAAGUCAUCAUGCCCCUUAUGUCCAGGGCUUCACGCAUGCUACAAUGGCUGGUACAGAGAGUGGCGAGCCUGUGAGGGUGAGCGAAUCUCGGAAAGCCGGUCUCAGUUCGGAUUGGGGUCUGCAACUCGACCUCAUGAAGUCGGAGUCGCUAGUAAUCGCAGAUCAGCAACGCUGCGGUGAAUACGUUCCCGGGGCUUGUACACACCGCCCGUCAAGUCAUGAAAGUUGGUAACACCCGAAGCCGGUGGCCUAACCGUUGUGGGGGAGCCGUCGAAGGUGGGACUGGUGAUUAGG
RNAcentral lists this ribosomal RNA (1438 nucleotides) under uncultured organism. Its description in RNAcentral is "16S ribosomal RNA". It matches the Rfam family "Bacterial small subunit ribosomal RNA". The record is from RNAcentral.